GUCGCCCUGGCCAGUACAUUGACUGCAACCUCGUGAGAGACCCUGAGUCAGAACCAUCCAGAUGUGUAAACUGCGGCACAGAGAGGUUACAUAACUUAACCUCAAGGUCAUGCAGCUAAUACGUGAAGAGUUGAGCUCAGCCAGUCUGGCUCUACAGAGUCUAUUGCUCUCAACCAUAGGAAAUAUAACCGUGAAAUAGUAAGGAAAAUCACAACUGUAUCCAGAGAGAUCCAGUUAAAACCCAAGUUAGAGCUUGUCACUCCUCUGCGCUAAAACGUCCAAUGGCUUCUCAUCUGUGGGAAAUUGCAGAAAUGGCCACAAGUCUUUAAAUUCCUCCUAUCAAGAGGUGAAGUCUAUUUCUCAACCCACUGACUCUGGGCUGGCCUUGCAACUGUCUUUAUCCAAUAGAAUGUUGCACAAGAAACACUGUGUGAAUUCUGAGUCUGGGCCUCAGCAGAAUGAUCCUACUCUUACCCUUGGAAUCCUAUAGUUGCCUUGUAAACAAGCCCAGGCAAGCCUGUUGGGGGAUGAGAGACCAUGUGGAACAGAACAGCCCCAGGCAAGGCCAUCCUGGGUGAGCCAGUUAUCAGCUGAGGACAAAUGAUGGCGCCCCACUAAGAUCAGUCUAGCACAGCCUCUACCAGAAGAAGCUUCCAGAUGACCCGCAGACUCAUGAGCUAAAUAAAUGGUACUGUUUUAAGCCCUUGAGGUUUGUUGUGGGUUGUUAGGCAGCAAAAGCUAACUGAUUCACCAUCUCAUUCUGAGAAAAAGUUGAGUACUAACUGCAUUUCCAGUACUGAGAAC
Hipposideros armiger (great roundleaf bat) is the source of this 804-nucleotide long non-coding RNA. RefSeq lists it as uncharacterized. The record is from RefSeq and is a predicted model, not a curated record. Lineage: Eukaryota; Metazoa; Chordata; Mammalia; Chiroptera; Hipposideridae. The transcript has 3 exons.